Molecule: long non-coding RNA, 346 nt
Filed under: Homo sapiens (human)
Lineage: Eukaryota; Metazoa; Chordata; Mammalia; Primates; Hominidae
Description: HSALNT0319177
Source: RNAcentral
ACAGCUGCUUUGAACGUGGCCUGGCUGAGCUUUGCUGACUUUCGAGUCCAUUCCAUCAUUUAUCGAACAACAAUAAGAAGAUGAGAUUCAAAGGAAUUCCACAGUGUUCUUCAGAUUCUAUCAGUUGUAGGACACUUCAGGUAUACAAAGACGGCUGGCUACCCUUUAUUUCUCCAAAGUCCAUCCUUGCUUGGCAUGAUGGCAAAGGAAAAUGAACAUGAGGCCCACCUAGUGCAGCAUUUUAGAUCUAACUUGGUACCCAAUUGAGGAAACAAUCUGAACUUCACAAAUCCCAAGUCGGCAACCACGUGCCAAGCCUGCCAGCACCCAUGAUGAACUAUGGCUU